AACCUUCCCAAAACAGGUGAAUAGCCCUCCGAAAGGAGGAUUAAUACACCGUACCAUAUGGAUGCGGCAUCGCAACCAUAUUAUAGGCCGCAAGGUCGGUUUUGGAUGGGCGUGCGCCUGAUUAGGUAGUUGGCGGGGUAACGGCCCACCAAGCCUCCGAUCAGUAACUGGUGUGAGAGCACGACCAGUCACACGGGCACUGAGACACGGGCCCGACUCCUACGGGAGGCAGCAGUAAGGAAUAUUGGUCAAUGGACGCAAGUCUGAACCAGCCAUGCCGCGUGCAG
This 287-nucleotide ribosomal RNA is filed under the name uncultured bacterium. RNAcentral's name for it is "partial 16S ribosomal RNA". It matches the Rfam family "Bacterial small subunit ribosomal RNA", at positions 123 to 406 of the family's 1533-position model. The record is from RNAcentral.